GAUGAACGCUGGCGGCGUGCUUAACACAUGCAAGUCGAACGAUGAAGCCCAGCUUGCUGGGUGGAUUAGUGGCGAACGGGUGAGUAACACGUGAGUAACCUGCCCUUAACUCUGGGAUAAGCCUGGGAAACUGGGUCUAAUACCGGAUAGGAGCGCCUACCGCAUGGUGGGUGUUGGAAAGAUUUAUCGGUUUUGGAUGGACUCGCGGCCUAUCAGCUUGUUGGUGAGGUAAUGGCUCCCCAAGGCGACGCCGGGUAGCCGGCCUGAGAGGGUGACCGGCCACACUGGGACUGAGACACGGCCCAGACUCCUACGGGAGGCAGCAGUGGGGAAUAUUGCACAAUGGGCGAAAGCCUGAUGCAGCGGCGCCGCGUGAGGGAUGACGGCCUUCGGGUUGUAAACCUCUUUCAGUAGGGAAGAAGCGAAAGUGACGGUACCUGCAGAAGAAGCACCGGCUAACUACGUG
This 466-nucleotide ribosomal RNA is filed under the name uncultured bacterium. Its description in RNAcentral is "partial 16S ribosomal RNA". It matches the Rfam family "Bacterial small subunit ribosomal RNA", at positions 28 to 507 of the family's 1533-position model. The record is from RNAcentral.